AGCUCCAAUAGCGUAUAUUAAAAUUGCUGCGGUUAAAAAACUCGUAGUUGGAUUUCUGCUGAGGACGACCGGUCCGCCCUCUGGGUGAGUAUCUGGCUUGGCCUUGGCAUCUUCUUGGAGAACGUAGCUGCACUUGACAGUGUGGUGCGGUAUCCUAGACUUUUACUUUGAGGAAAUUAGAGUGUUUCAAGCAGGCACACGCCUUGAAUACAUUAGCAUGGAAUAAUCAGAUAGGACCUUGGUUCUAUUUUGUUGGUUUCUAGAGCUGAGGUAAUGAUUAAUAGGGAUCGUUGGGGGCAUUUGUAUUUAACGGUCAGAAGUGAAAUUAUUGGAUUUGUUAAAGACGGACUACUGCGAAAGCAUUCGCCAAAAAGGUUUUCA
Molecule: ribosomal RNA, 381 nt
Filed under: uncultured eukaryote
Lineage: Eukaryota
Description: SSU rRNA
Rfam family: Eukaryotic small subunit ribosomal RNA
Source: RNAcentral